This 450-nucleotide ribosomal RNA is filed under the name uncultured bacterium. RNAcentral describes it as "bacterial SSU rRNA". It matches the Rfam family "Bacterial small subunit ribosomal RNA", at positions 329 to 795 of the family's 1533-position model. The record is from RNAcentral.
UGCCAGACUCCUACGGGAGGCAGCAGUGGGGAAUAUUGGGCAAUGGGCGCAAGCCUGACCCAGCAACGCCGCGUGAAGGAAGAAGGCUUUCGGGUUGUAAACUUCUUUUGACAGGGAAGAGCAGAAGACGGUACCUGUCGAAUAAGCCACGGCUAACUACGUGCCAGCAGCCGCGGUAAUACGGAGGAUGCGAGCGUUAUCCGGAUUUAUUGGGUUUAAAGGGUGCGUAGGCGGGCUGUUAAGUCAGCGGUCAAAUGUCGGGGCUCAACCCCGGCCUGCCGUUGAAACUGGCAGUCUCGAGUUGGAGAGAAGUAUGCGGAAUGCGCGGUGUAGCGGUGAAAUGCAUAGAUAUCGCGCAGAACUCCGAUUGCGAAGGCAGCAUGCCGGCUCCACACUGACGCUGAGGCACGAAAGCGUGGGUAUCGAACAGGAUUAGAUACCCGAGUAAUC